AUACGGAGGAUGCGAGCGUUAUCCGGAUUUAUUGGGUUUAAAGGGAGCGUAGGUGGGAUAUUAAGUCAGAAGUGAAAUUCCUGAGCUCAACUCGGGCGCUGCUUCUGAAACUGCAGGACUUGAGUGCUGGAGGGGAUAGCGGAAUUCCUAGUGGAGCGGUAGAAUGCGCAGAUAUUAGGAAGAACACCGGUGGCGAAGGCGGCUAUCUGGACAGUAACUGACGCUGAGGCGCGAAAGUGUGGGGAGCAAACAGGAUUAGAUACCCUGGUAGUCCACACUGUAAACGAUGAAUGCUAGGUGUAGGGGGUAUCGACCCCUUCUGUGCCGCAGUUAACACAAUAAGCAUUCCGCCUGGGGAGUACGGCCGCAAGGUUGAAACUCAAAGGAAUUGACGGGG
Molecule: ribosomal RNA, 397 nt
Filed under: uncultured bacterium
Lineage: Bacteria
Description: partial 16S ribosomal RNA
Rfam family: Bacterial small subunit ribosomal RNA
Source: RNAcentral